GAUGAACGCUGGCGGCGUGCUUAACACAUGCAAGUCGAACGGUGAAAGCGGAGCUUGCUCUGCUGGAUCAGUGGCGAACGGGUGAGUAACACGUGAGCAAUCUGCCCUUGACUCUGGGAUAAGCGCUGGAAACGGCGUCUAAUACCGGAUACGAGCUGCGAAGGCAUCUUCAGCAGCUGGAAAGAACUUCGGUCAAGGAUGAGCUCGCGGCCUAUCAGCUUGUUGGUGAGGUAACGGCUCACCAAGGCGUCGACGGGUAGCCGGCCUGAGAGGGUGACCGGCCACACUGGGACUGAGACACGGCCCAGACUCCUACGGGAGGCAGCAGUGGGGAAUAUUGCACAAUGGGCGCAAGCCUGAUGCAGCAACGCCGCGUGAGGGACGACGGCCUUCGGGUUGUAAACCUCUUUUAGCAGGGAAGAAGCGAAAGUGACGGUACCUGCAGAAAAAGCACCGGCUAACUACGUG
RNAcentral lists this ribosomal RNA (468 nucleotides) under uncultured bacterium. RNAcentral's name for it is "bacterial SSU rRNA". It matches the Rfam family "Bacterial small subunit ribosomal RNA", at positions 28 to 507 of the family's 1533-position model. The record is from RNAcentral.